RNAcentral lists this ribosomal RNA (330 nucleotides) under uncultured eukaryote. RNAcentral describes it as "partial 18S ribosomal RNA". It matches the Rfam family "Eukaryotic small subunit ribosomal RNA", at positions 1470 to 1796 of the family's 1831-position model. The record is from RNAcentral.
CCCUUAGAUGUUCGGGGCCGCACGCGCGCUACACUGAAGGAAUCAGCACGUCUUUCUCCUUGUCCGAAAGGACUGGGUAACCCGCUGAACCUCCUUCGUGCUAGGGAUUGGGGCUUGUAAUUCUUCCCCAUGAACGAGGAAUUCCCAGUAAGCGCGAGUCAUAAGCUCGCGUUGAUUACGUCCCUGCCCUUUGUACACACCGCCCGUCGCUACUACCGAUUGGAUGGUUUAGUGAGAUCCUCGGAUUGGUCCCGGCGCGGCCUCUGGUCGUGCCGGAGUGCCGUAAAGAAUGUCGAACUUGAUCAUCUAGAGGAAGUAAAAGUCGUAACA